CUUGUGGUUAAGGAUGCACUAUUUUUUUCCCCGUCUUAUCGACUGUGGUGACCACUAGCUAAAAUAUAAGCCAACUUUGUCUGAAACCACAAA
This is a non-coding RNA of Nerophis lumbriciformis (worm pipefish), 93 nucleotides long. The record is from RefSeq and is a predicted model, not a curated record. Lineage: Eukaryota; Metazoa; Chordata; Actinopteri; Syngnathiformes; Syngnathidae.